GAUGAAGAACGCAGCGAAAUGCGAUAAGUAAUGUGAAUUGCUGAAUUCAGUGAAUCAUCGAAUCUUUGAACGCACAUUGCGCCCGCCAGUAUUCUGGCGGGCAUGCCUGUCUGAGCGUCAUUUCAACCCUCAUGCCCCUAGGGCGUGGUGUUGGGGAUCGGCCAAAGCCCGCGAGGGACGGCCGGCCCCUAAAUCUAGUGGCGGACCCGUCGUGGCCUCCUCUGCGAAGUAGUGAUAUUCCGCAUCGGAGAGCGACGAGCCCCUGCCGUUAAACCCCCAACUUUCCAAGGUUGACCUCAGAUCAGGUAGGAAUACCCGCUGAACUUAAGCAUAUCAAUAAGCGGAGGA
RNAcentral lists this unclassified non-coding RNA (348 nucleotides) under soil metagenome. RNAcentral's name for it is "partial contains 5.8S ribosomal RNA, internal transcribed spacer 2, and large subunit ribosomal RNA". The stretch from base 1 to 120 matches the Rfam family "5.8S ribosomal RNA", at positions 35 to 154 of the family's 154-position model. The record is from RNAcentral.